This 492-nucleotide ribosomal RNA is filed under the name uncultured bacterium. RNAcentral's name for it is "partial 16S ribosomal RNA". It matches the Rfam family "Bacterial small subunit ribosomal RNA", at positions 29 to 507 of the family's 1533-position model. The record is from RNAcentral.
AGUGAACGCUGGCGGUAGGCCUAACACAUGCAAGUCGAACGGCAGCACAGUAAGAGCUUGCUCUUACGGGUGGCGAGUGGCGGACGGGUGAGGAAUACAUCGGAAUCUACUUUUUCUUGGGGGAUAACGUAGGGAAACUUACGCUAAUACCGCAUACGACCUACGGGUGAAAUCAGGAGAUCUUCGGACCUUGCGCGAUUGAUUGAGCCGAUGUCGGAUUAGCUAGUUGGCGGGGUAAAGGCCCACCAAGGCGACGAUCCGUAGCUGGUCUGAGAGGAUGAUCAGCCACACUGGAACUGAGACACGGUCCAGACUCCUACGGGAGGCAGCAGUGGGGAAUAUUGGACAAUGGGCGAAAGCCUGAUCCAGCCAUACCGCGUGAGUGAAGAAGGCCUUCGGGUUGUAAAGCCCUGUUGUUGGGAAAGAAAAGCAGCAGGUUAAUACCCCGCUGUUCUGACGGUACCCAAAGAAUAAGCACCGGCUAACUUCGUG